This 805-nucleotide ribosomal RNA is filed under the name uncultured bacterium. RNAcentral's name for it is "bacterial SSU rRNA". It matches the Rfam family "Bacterial small subunit ribosomal RNA", at positions 60 to 871 of the family's 1533-position model. The record is from RNAcentral.
AGUCGAGGGGUAUAGGUUUUCGGACCUAGAGACCGGCGCACGGGUGCGUAACGCGUAUGCAAUCUACCUUGUACAGGGGGAUAGCCCAGAGAAAUUUGGAUUAAUACCCCAUAGUGUAAUGAAAUCGCAUGGUUUUAUUACUAAAGUUCCAACGGUACAAGAUGAGCAUGCGUCCUAUUAGCUAGUUGGUGUGGUAACGGCAUACCAAGGCUACGAUAGGUAGGGGUCCUGAGAGGGAGAUCCCCCACACUGGUACUGAGACACGGACCAGACUCCUACGGGAGGCAGCAGUGAGGAAUAUUGGACAAUGGGCGCAAGCCUGAUCCAGCCAUGCCGCGUGCAGGAAGAAGCAUCUAUGGUGUGUAAACUGCUUUUGUACGGGAAGAAACACCUCUACGUGUAGAGGCUUGACGGUACCGUAAGAAUAAGGAUCGGCUAACUCCGUGCCAGCAGCCGCGGUAAUACGGAGGAUCCAAGCGUUAUCCGGAAUCAUUGGGUUUAAAGGGUCCGUAGGCGGUUUAAUAAGUCAGUGGUGAAAGCCCAUCGCUUAACGAUGGAACGGCCAUUGAUACUGUUAGACUUGAAUUAUUAGGAAGUAACUAGAAUAUGUAGUGUAGCGGUGAAAUGCUUAGAUAUUACAUGGAAUACCAAUUGCGAAGGCAGGUUACUACUAAUGGAUUGACGCUGAUGGACGAAAGCGUGNGGAGCGAACAGGAUUAGAUACCCUGGUAGUCCACGCCGUAAACGAUGGAUACUAGCUGUUCGGAGCAAUCUGAGUGGCUAAGCGAAAGUGAUAAGUAUCCCA